This 680-nucleotide ribosomal RNA is filed under the name uncultured bacterium. RNAcentral's name for it is "bacterial SSU rRNA". It matches the Rfam family "Bacterial small subunit ribosomal RNA", at positions 8 to 733 of the family's 1533-position model. The record is from RNAcentral.
AGAGUUUGAUCAUGGCUCAGAACGUACGCUGGCGGCACGCCUAGCACAUGCAAGUCGAACGAAGUAGCAAUACUUAGUGGCAGACGGGUGAGUAACAUGUAGGUAUCUGCCCUUUGGCCUGGAAUAACACGAGGAAACUUGUGCUAAUACCGGAUAAGUCUUUACGGAGAAAGCUUUAUGCACCAUUGGAUGAGCCUGCACUUGAUUAGUUUGUUGGUGGGGUAAUGGCCUACCAAGACUGUGAUCAAUAGCUGAUUUGAGAGGAUGAUCAGCCACAUUGGGACUGAGACACGGCCCAAACUCCUACGGGAGGCAGCAGUGGGGAAUCUUGCACAAUGGAGGAAACUCUGAUGCAGCGAUGCCGCGUGAGUGAAGAAGGCCUUUGGGUUGUAAAGCUCUUUCGUCGGGGAAGAAAAUGACUGUACCCGAAUAAGAAGGUCCGGCUAACUUCGUGCCAGCAGCCGCGGUAAUACGAAGGGACCUAGCGUAGUUCGGAAUUACUGGGCUUAAAGAGUUCGUAGGUGGUUGAAAAAGUUGGUGGUGAAAUCCCAGAGCUUAACUCUGGAACUGCCAUCAAAACUUUUCAGCUAGAGUAUGAUAGAGGAAAGCAGAAUUUCUAGUGUAGAGGUGAAAUUCGUAGAUAUUAGAAAGAAUACCAAUUGCGAAGGCAGCUUUCUGGA